Molecule: ribosomal RNA, 740 nt
Filed under: uncultured bacterium
Lineage: Bacteria
Description: bacterial SSU rRNA
Rfam family: Bacterial small subunit ribosomal RNA
Source: RNAcentral
AGAGUUUGAUCCUGGCUCAGAGCGAACGCUGGCGGCAGUAACACAUGCAAGUCGAGCGGGCGUAGCAAUACGUCAGCGGCAGACGGGUGAGUAACGCGUGGGAACGUACCUUUUGGUUCGGAACAACACAGGGAAACUUGUGCUAAUACCGGAUAAGCCCUUACGGGGAAAGAUUUAUCGCCGAAAGAUCGGCCCGCGUCUGAUUAGCUAGUUGGUGAGGUAACGGCUCACCAAGGCGACGAUCAGUAGCUGGUCUGAGAGGAUGAUCAGCCACAUUGGGACUGAGACACGGCCCAAACUCCUACGGGAGGCAGCAGUGGGGAAUAUUGGACAAUGGGCGCAAGCCUGAUCCAGCCAUGCCGCGUGAGUGAUGAAGGCCCUAGGGUUGUAAAGCUCUUUUGUGCGGGAAGAUAAUGACGGUACCGCAAGAAUAAGCCCCGGCUAACUUCGUGCCAGCAGCCGCGGUAAUACGAAGGGGGCUAGCGUUGCUCGGAAUCACUGGGCGUAAAGGGUGCGUAGGGGGUCUUUAAGUCAGGGGUGAAAUCCUGGAGCUCAACUCCAGAACUGCCUUUGAUACUGAGGAUCUUGAGUUCGGGAGAGGGAGUGGAACUGCGAGUGUAGAGNNGAAAUUCGUAGAUAUUCGCAAGAACACCAGUGGCGAAGGNNGGCUCACUGGCCCGAUACUGACGCUGAGGCACGAAAGCGUGGGGAGCAAACAGGAUUAGAUACCCUAGUAGUCC